This 199-nucleotide non-coding RNA is filed under the name Heyndrickxia coagulans. RNAcentral describes it as "Bacillus coagulans T-box sequence". It matches the Rfam family "T-box leader". Rfam says of the family: Uncharged tRNA acts as the effector for transcription antitermination of genes in the T-box leader family. The record is from RNAcentral. Lineage: Bacteria; Bacillati; Bacillota; Bacilli; Caryophanales; Bacillaceae.
AAUGAAGCGUCGAAAGGAUCAAGUAGCUUCCUGUUGCUGCAUACAAGAGAGCCGGUGGUUGGUGCGAACCGGUACAGGCAGGCGGCGAAUUACACCCCGGAGCUUUUGCCGGAUACGGCAGACGGCCCCCAGCCGUUAUCCAAAUGAGUGGAGAAGCAAUUCUCAAGUUGGGUGGUAACGCGAUACAAUCGUCCCUUCG